CUGGAGGUAUCAGAAGUGCGAAUGCUGACAUAAGUAACGAUAAAGCGGGUGAAAAGCCCGCUCGCCGGAAGACCAAGGGUUCCUGUCCAACGUUAAUCGGGGCAGGGUGAGUCGACCCCUAAGGCGAGGCCGAAAGGCGUAGUCGAUGGGAAACAGGUUAAUAUUCCUGUACUUGGUGUUACUGCGAAGGGGGGACGGAGAAGGCUAUGUUGGCCGGGCGACGGUUGUCCCGGUUUAAGCGUGUAGGCUGGUUUUCCAGGCAAAUCCGGAAAAUCAAGGCUGAGGCGUGAUGACGAGGCACUACGGUGCUGAAGCAACAAAUGCCCUGCUUCCAGGAAAAGCCUCUAAGCAUCAGGUAACAUCAAAUCGUACCCCAAACCGACACAGGUGGUCAGGUAGAGAAUACCAAGGCGCUUGAGAGAACUCGGGUGAAGGAACUAGGCAAAAUGGUGCCGUAACUUCGGGAGAAGGCACGCUGAUAUGUAGGUGAAGUCCCUCGCGGAUGGAGCUGAAAUCAGUCGAAGAUACCAGCUGGCUGCAACUGUUUAUUAAAAACACAGCACUGUGCAAACACGAAAGUGGACGUAUAC
This 590-nucleotide ribosomal RNA is filed under the name Escherichia coli. Its description in RNAcentral is "partial 23S ribosomal RNA". It matches the Rfam family "Bacterial large subunit ribosomal RNA", at positions 1273 to 1848 of the family's 2925-position model. Lineage: Bacteria; Pseudomonadati; Pseudomonadota; Gammaproteobacteria; Enterobacterales; Enterobacteriaceae. The record is from RNAcentral.